RNAcentral lists this unclassified non-coding RNA (263 nucleotides) under plant metagenome. RNAcentral's name for it is "partial contains small subunit ribosomal RNA, internal transcribed spacer 1, and 5.8S ribosomal RNA". The record is from RNAcentral.
UUUCCGUAGGUGAACCUGCGGAAGGAUCAUUAUUGUAUAACCGAGGUGCGAGGGCUGUCGCUGACCCGAAAGGUCGUGCACGCCCGAGUGCCCUCACACACAUCCAUCUUACCCCUAUGUGCACCACCGCGUGGGUCCCCAUUUGGCUUGUUCGGAGGGGGGCUUACGUUUUCACACAAACUUUGUAUGCAGUGUAGAAUGUAUUUUUUGUUUUUGCGAUCACGCAAUCAAUACAACUUUCAACAACGGAUCUCUUGGCUCUC